RNAcentral lists this long non-coding RNA (1076 nucleotides) under Sus scrofa (pig). RNAcentral describes it as "lncRNA (ENSSSCG00005043724.1)". The record is from RNAcentral. Lineage: Eukaryota; Metazoa; Chordata; Mammalia; Artiodactyla; Suidae.
AGGGCCACAGCAACGCGGGAUCUGAGCCGAGUCUGCAACCUACACCACAGCUCACGGCAACGCCAGAUCGUUAACCCACUGAGCAAGGGCAGGGACCGAACCCGCAACCUCAUGGUUCCUAGUCGGAUUCGUUAACCACUGCGCCACGACAGGAACUCCUGCUCUUUCUAAUUUAAAGCUUUUAGAUAAUUUUGAAAAUAUCCAUGAGGAAUCUAUAUCCUUCAGUGUACUUUACACGUCUAAACAAUUUAAAACAUAGCUUCAACUAAUACCACUCGUAUCUAUACAAUUUAAAAGCACUUUUACAUAUAUAAGCAUUUCAACUAAAGAAAAUGCACUAAUUGACUUUCAGAUUUCAGAUUUGGUGAUUAUAAACUAACAUGUUUUUUGCAUGAUUACUGAAUGCCUAAAAUAAGCCAAGAAAAUGCUCAUGCUCAUAUUGCACUAAAAGUUUUAAGUCCAUGUCUUGGAGAAAAAAACUGUUUAUGAUUAACCCUAAAAAACAUUUAUGUAGUAAAGAAACAUCUUCCAACUUAUAAAGAGGUAAAUCUUCAACAAUUUCCAAAGAGGCAAAGUUUCCCAGUGGUCUUGUUAUAAAAAAGUAAAGAUACCUACACAUAAUUUCACAAUAUAAAGCCAAAGAAGAGAAAACUAGAAACUGUGUGUGUUCUGAGCAUGACCAUAUUUGCAUUGCAUGAUCCUCUUGGCAUUCUCCUUUCUAACUUCAUUCCCAUAAGACCAACCUCAAAGCUCUCCUCUUUUAACCAACCCCCACUGACCGGAGUGGACAGUGCUGGGCAGCAAAUCCUACAGCCUAAGUCACUGGCCACAACAGAGGUAGAGCACUGCUCCUAGCCAUUCUGUACCUCUGGACUUGGCAACAAUUCCACAAACACACAGACACACACAAUUAUACCCACAUACCCAGGCCAUCCUCAAAAUCAUCCAGUAAUCUUUCACUUUAAAAAAAUCACCUCACAACUCAAAAGUUUUUCGACAGCUCCCCAGUGCACUCAGGAUAAAAAUCCAAAGCCUUAAGCAUCACUUGCUCUCACCACCUCGGCCUCAUUUCUAUC